AUGAACGCUGGCGGCGUGCCUAAUACAUGCCAGUCGAGCGAACAGACGAGGAGCUUGCUCCUCUGACGUUUGCGGCGGACGGGUGAGUAACACGUGGAUAACCUACCUAUAAGACUGGGAUAACUUCGGGAAACCGGAGCUAAUACCGGAUAAUAUAUUGAACCGCAUGGUUCAAUAGUGAAAGACGGUUUUGCUGUCACUUAUAGAUGGAUCCGCGCCGCAUUAGCUAGUUGGUAAGGUAACGGCUUACCAAGGCGACGAUGCGUAGCCGACCUGAGAGGGUGAUCGGCCACACUGGAACUGAGACACGGUCCAGACUCCUACGGGAGGCAGCAGUAGGGAAUCUUCCGCAAUGGGCGAAAGCCUGACGGAGCAACGCCGCGUGAGUGAUGAAGGUCUUCGGAUCGUAAAACUCUGUUAUUAGGGAAGAACAAAUGUGUAAGUAACUAUGCACGUCUUGACGGUACCUAAUCAGAAAGCCACGGCUAACUACGUG
RNAcentral lists this ribosomal RNA (496 nucleotides) under uncultured bacterium. Its description in RNAcentral is "partial 16S ribosomal RNA". It matches the Rfam family "Bacterial small subunit ribosomal RNA", at positions 29 to 507 of the family's 1533-position model. The record is from RNAcentral.